This 447-nucleotide ribosomal RNA is filed under the name uncultured bacterium. RNAcentral describes it as "bacterial SSU rRNA". It matches the Rfam family "Bacterial small subunit ribosomal RNA", at positions 330 to 793 of the family's 1533-position model. The record is from RNAcentral.
GCCAGACUCCUACGGGAGGCAGCAGUGGGGGAUAUUGCACAAUGGGGGAAACCCUGAUGCAGCGACGCCGCGUGAGUGAAGAAGUAUUUCGGUAUGUAAAGCUCUAUCAGCAGGGAAGAAAAAAGACGGUACCUGACUAAGAAGCCCCGGCUAACUACGUGCCAGCAGCCGCGGUAAUACGUAGGGGGCGAGCGUUAUCCGGAUUUACUGGGUGUAAAGGGAGCGUAGACGGCAAUACAAGUCGGAAGUGAAAUACCCGGGCUCAACCUGGGAACUGCUUUGGAAACUGUAUGGCUGGAGUGCUGGAGAGGUAAGCGGAAUUCCUAGUGUAGCGGUGAAAUGCGUAGAUAUUAGGAGGAACACCAGUGGCGAAGGCGGCUUACUGGACAGUAACUGACGUUGAGGCUCGAAAGCGUGGGGAGCAAACAGGAUUAGAUACCCCCGUAA